CUUGGUGAUUUGUGCGGCGGAGGUACACCCGGUCCCUUCCCGAACCCGGAAGUUAAGACCGCCAGCGCCGAUGGUACUUGGUGGGAGACCGCCUGGGAGAGUAGGUCGUUGCCAAGG
This 117-nucleotide ribosomal RNA is filed under the name Chloroflexota bacterium. The record is from RNAcentral. Lineage: Bacteria; Bacillati; Chloroflexota.